ACACAUGCAAGUCGAACGGAGAUUAUUUCGAUAAUCUUAGUGGCGAACGGGUGAGUAACGCGUGGGCAACCUGCCCUCUAGAUGGGGACAACAUCCCGAAAGGGGUGCUAAUACCGAAUGUGACAGCAAUCUCGCAUGAGGAUGCUGUGAAAGAUGGCCCCUAUUUAUAAGCUAUCGCUAGAGGAUGGGCCUGCGUCUGAUUAGCUAGUUGGUGGGGUAACGGCCUACCAAGGCGAUGAUCAGUAGCCGGUCUGAGAGGAUGAACGGCCACAUUGGGACUGAGACACGGCCCAGACUCCUACGGGAGGCAGCAGUGGGGAAUCUUCCGCAAUGGGCGAAAGCCUGACGGAGCAAUGCCGCGUGAGUGAUGAAGGAAUUCGUUCCGUAAAGCUCUUUUGUUUAUGGCGAAUGUGCAGGUUGUGAAUAAUGAUUUGUAAUGACGGUAGUAAACGAAUAAGCCACGGCCAACUACGUGCCAGCAGCCGCGGUAAUACGUAGGUGGCGAGCGUUGUCCGGAAUUAUUGGGCGUAAAGAGCAUGUAGGCGGUUUUUUAAGUCUGGAGUGAAAAUGCGGGGCUCAACCCCGUAUGGCUCUGGAUACUGGAAGACUUGAGUGCAGGAGAGGAAAGGGGAAUUCCCAGUGUAGCGGUGAAAUGCGUAGAUAUUGGGAGGAACACCAGUGGCGAAGGCGCCUUUCUGGACUGUGUCUGACGCUGAGAUGCGAAAGCCAGGGUAGCGAACGG
This 742-nucleotide ribosomal RNA is filed under the name uncultured bacterium. RNAcentral describes it as "bacterial SSU rRNA". It matches the Rfam family "Bacterial small subunit ribosomal RNA", at positions 51 to 775 of the family's 1533-position model. The record is from RNAcentral.